Triticum dicoccoides is the source of this 644-nucleotide long non-coding RNA. RefSeq lists it as uncharacterized. Lineage: Eukaryota; Viridiplantae; Streptophyta; Magnoliopsida; Poales; Poaceae. The transcript has 3 exons. The record is from RefSeq and is a predicted model, not a curated record.
ACGUGUCGCCUUGAAGCUUGGCGUUGUCUACAUCUCUGUUCCCCGCCCUCCUUCCACCUCCCAUCAAACAAAUCCAUAGCUGUCUCACCACUUCCACCCUCUCGUAACACAAUCCGGCCGCGCGCCCUCUCACUAGCUGUCAAUGGAAUCCAUGGAGCCUCGCGGAGGCAAUAAGGAUCAAGGAAUCAUCGAACUACGCCGCGGCCGUGGACCUCUUAUGGGAGGAAUAGCAAAUCCCGUCGCACUCCUGGAAUCGAUAUUAUCGAAUCUAUCGCUGCUGAUCUGGAUCUCGAUUCAAGUUCCAGAUCCAAUGUGGUGGAUGGUACUCCUAGUUCAUCCGUUCUGAUUUCUCCUGACAUACGAACAACUGAUGCACCCCAAGUCCGGCCAUGGCGAUUCAAAGUCUUGUACAUAGCCACUGGGUGGUGGAUAGAAACGCAGGUGUUGAUCCAGGGAGCUGUAUCUCUGUGCAAUUCUAGUUCAUAUCAGUCGGAUGGAGGAUGGAAACGCAGCGGAAUGCUAUGAUGAUUCUUGGUGUUAUUACUAGUACUCGUACAAGCAGUUACCGAUCCCGUGACGGGCUUACGGCGAGGGCAGUGCCAAGCAAAGUAACCUCUAUGGAGAGGUGUCUGCUGAACUCCCAA